AGUAAUUGAUAAAGAUAUGCAGGAUCCUAUUUCCUCUCCCUCAUCUCUUUUUUAGGCACAAGAAAACAAUUUUAAAAAGCAUUACUCUACAUCUUCAUGUACCAACUAUAUCAGUUUAUCUAAGUCCAGGUGCCUCUAUGUGUAUGUGUGUGUGCAUAUAUAUAUAAUAGUGGUAAAGAUGAACCGCUUUAAAGGUGGAGGGGGGGGGGGAGGAGUGGGAACCUUUUCUGAGUCAAUUUUGAUCAUGAUAGAAAAUUUGGAAAUGGUGGAAAACAGGCCACCCAUUGUUGGUUUAAACAAGUCGAAAAAUACAACUUAAAUAUGGUACGCUGAUUCGGAUUAAAAAUGCCAGUUCCUGUGUGCAUUGCCUUCUCUCUUUUCAACAUUUGAACACCCAGCUCAAAAACUUAAUGCUUUUUUUUUCUUUAUUAAUUAAAAGCACUGGGGUUCUUGAGUUUUCUUGGUGCCAGGCUGCCAACUAUUAUGGUCAAAUUGGUAUGAAAAUAAUAAUUUAGCUAGCAGGGCCAAACCGAUAUAAACUAAGCUGCCUUUCACAUUUGGUUAAUCGGUUAGGAGUUGGGGUGUGUUGGUGAUAGGGAGUGUGUCAUGGGCGGGGGGAGUAACUUAGUUUACAGUAAUGAUGGAUGGAUGGGUAAGAUCCAAGCAACAACCCUGAAGCACAAACACCUGAUAAAUUUGCUCCCUCUUGGAAGGUCAUCUGGAUGGGGAUCAGAUUAUAAAUAAUAUUAAAUCAAAGGGUAAAAGCGAUCGCCGUCUCCAAAAUUGACCAGCCUGAUCCGUACAAACAAAUUGAUUUAUUAUUAUUCACACUGGAAUAGCACAAAGCCCUUCUUUGCUCGGCCCUCUAUGCGGGGACCAUCCGCCUAUGGGAACACCCCUAUGAAAUAAAUCCAUCAUUCCAGUAUCUCCUGUAAAAACAAUUGCUACAUCGUACAAG
This 958-nucleotide long non-coding RNA is filed under the name Gossypium barbadense (sea-island cotton). Its description in RNAcentral is "long non-coding RNA (GBAR_LNC016216)". Lineage: Eukaryota; Viridiplantae; Streptophyta; Magnoliopsida; Malvales; Malvaceae. The record is from RNAcentral.